Molecule: non-coding RNA, 223 nt
Filed under: Azospirillum lipoferum
Lineage: Bacteria; Pseudomonadati; Pseudomonadota; Alphaproteobacteria; Rhodospirillales; Azospirillaceae
Source: RNAcentral
CGAUUGUGGCCGUCCGACGGUGCCCCGCCCGUCCUGACGGAUGACGGGGAUAAUAGGGAAUGCGGUGCGGAUCUCCGUUGCACGGGGUCCAAUGCCGCGGCUGCCCCCGCAACUGUGUGCGGCGAGCGUCCCGUCCAUCAUGCCACUGGCCUUUGCGCCGGGAAGGCGGACGGCGAUGCGACGACCCGCGAGCCAGGAAACCUGCCGGCGGAUGAAUCGACCU